GGAAAUACAAAGAUAGGAAAUAGUAAAUAAUGAUAUGAAGCAUAGAGAGACUUUGGUUGGUGAAAAAAGUCGAGAAUACAUUAUUGAACUCAUCCUUGAGUGGAGCACUGAAACAAUAGGAGUAAGCUGCUACGGAACUUGCGACCGUUAUCACGCUAGAGUAUGAACUUAUAAAUAAGCGUACUUGAUAAGGUUAUUGUCGUGAGGCAAUAAUAAAUAUGAGGUGGAACCACGAAGUGAGUAACUCUCGUCCUCUAU
Molecule: non-coding RNA, 258 nt
Filed under: Coprobacillus sp.
Lineage: Bacteria; Bacillati; Bacillota; Erysipelotrichia; Erysipelotrichales; Coprobacillaceae
Description: T-box sequence
Rfam family: T-box leader
About the family: Uncharged tRNA acts as the effector for transcription antitermination of genes in the T-box leader family. T-boxes are found upstream of many aminoacyl-tRNA synthetase genes and some amino acid biosynthetic genes usually in Gram-positive bacteria. The anticodon of a specific tRNA base pairs to a specifier sequence within the T-box motif, and the NCCA acceptor tail of the tRNA base pairs to a conserved bulge in the T-box antiterminator hairpin.
Source: RNAcentral